RNAcentral lists this ribosomal RNA (847 nucleotides) under uncultured marine bacterium. Its description in RNAcentral is "bacterial SSU rRNA". It matches the Rfam family "Bacterial small subunit ribosomal RNA", at positions 38 to 923 of the family's 1533-position model. The record is from RNAcentral.
GGCCGUGGAUGCUUACUGCAGUCGAAGGUAAGGUCUCUUCGGAGAUACACGAGUGGCGGACGGGUGAGGAACACGUAGGAAUCUGCCCUAGAGUGGGGGACAACCGAGAGAAAUCUUGGCUAAUACCCCAUAGGUCGAAAGAUUAAAGAAUUUCGCUCUAGGAGGAGCCUGCGUCUGAUUAGCUUGAUGGUGAGGUAAAAGCUCACCAUGGCGACGAUCAGUAGCUGGUUAGAGAUGAUGAUCAGCCACAAUGGGACUGAGAUACGGCCCAUACUCCUACGGGAGGCAGCAGUAGGGAAUUUUGCGCAAUGGACGAAAGUCUGACGCAGCAAUACCGUGUGUGGGAAGACGCCCCGUGGGGUGUAAACCACUGUCGGGAGGGAAGAAACAAAUGACGGUACCUCCAAAGGAAGCACCGGCUAACUCUGUGCCAGCAGCCGCGGUAAUACAGAGGGUGCAAGCGUUGUCCGGAUUUAUUGGGCGUAAAGCGUCUGUAGGCUGCUAUUCAAGUCUGAAGUGAAAGAACGGAGCUUAACUCCGUCCCCGCUUUGGAAACUGGAUAGCUAGAGAGUGUUAGAGGUAAGUGGGAUUUCCGGUGUAGCGGUGAAAUGCGUAGAUAUCGGAAGGAACACCAGAGGCGAAGGCGACUUGCUGGGGCACAUCUGACGCUGAGAGACGAAAGCUAGGGGAGCAAAAGGGAUUAGAUACCCCUGUAGUCCUAGCUGUAAACGAUGAAUACUAGGUGUCAAGGGAAUCGACCCCCUUGGUAUCGAAGCUAACGCGUUAAGUAUUCCGCCUGGGGAGUAUGUACGCAAGUAUGAAACUCAAAGGAAUUGACGGGGACCCG